CCAGGACUUCUCUCCCACAUUUCCUCUCUCAGAUGUCCCAGGUUUCCCCUGGCAGGUUUCCCCUCCCAGGUUUCCCAGGUUUUAUCUCCCAGGAUUUCUCUCCCAGGUUUCCCCUGGCAGGUUUUCUCUCCCAUGUUUUCUCUCCCAGGAUUCCCAGGAUUUCUCUCCCAGGAUUCCCCUCCCAUGUUUCCCAGGAUUUCUCUCCCAGGAUUUCUCUCCCAGGAUUUCUCUCCCAGGUUUCCCCUGGCAGGUUUUCUCUCCCAGGAUUCCCCUCCCAGGUUUCCCAG
Molecule: long non-coding RNA, 287 nt
Organism: Oenanthe melanoleuca
Lineage: Eukaryota; Metazoa; Chordata; Aves; Passeriformes; Muscicapidae
Exons: 3
Source: RefSeq, a predicted model, not a curated record